GGCGGACGGGUGAGUAACGCGUGGGAAUCUACCUGGUAGCGGGGGAUAACUCGGGGAAACUCGAGCUAAUACCGCAUACGCCCUACGGGGGAAAGGAGGGGAUCUUCGGACCUUUCACUAUCAGAUGAGCCCGCGUUAGAUUAGCUUGUUGGUGAGGUAAUGGCUCACCAAGGCGACGAUCUAUAGCUGGUCUGAGAGGAUGAUCAGCCACACUGGGACUGAGACACGGCCCAGACUCCUACGGGAGGCAGCAGUGGGGAAUAUUGCGCAAUGGGCGAAAGCCUGACGCAGCCAUGCCGCGUGUGUGAAGAAGGCCUUCGGGUUGUAAAGCACUUUCAAUAGGGAGGAAAACUUGUAGGUUAAUACCCUGCAAGCCUGACGUUACCUAUAGAAGAAGCACCGGCUAACUCCGUGCCAGCAGCCGCGGUAAUACGGAGGGUGCGAGCGUUAAUCGGAAUUACUGGGCGUAAAGCGCGCGUAGGCGGCUUCGUCAGUCAGAUGUGAAAGCCCCGGGCUCAACCUGGGAACUGCAUUUGAUACUGCGGAGCUAGAGUAUGGUAGAGGAUAGUGGAAUUCCAGGUGUAGC
RNAcentral lists this ribosomal RNA (586 nucleotides) under bacterium enrichment culture clone G11_2-G8_083 (1/59). RNAcentral's name for it is "bacterial SSU rRNA". It matches the Rfam family "Bacterial small subunit ribosomal RNA", at positions 97 to 679 of the family's 1533-position model. The record is from RNAcentral.